GUGUUAUGUAAGACACUGCCUCGAUAAAUGAAUAAAUAAGGCCUUCAGGUCAUAUGUGAAGAAUGCCCCAUGCCCUCCAGAGACAACCCCAGAGUCUAAACUACCUUUCAUACGCACACAGAGAGGCCACGUAUGAAGAUGUAAACGGUUAGAGCAAAGCAAUAGUAAAUCAAAGUGUGAGGCGUAAUAGUCUCUCACACGGCGUGAGGAUGCUCUGAUUGCUGCAGAAAUACCACAUGACUGAGAGCAGUAAGGGGGGAGAACAAGGAAGCCGCCCGUGGCCGCGCUGUGCAAUGCGUAUCUUUGGGAUCGGCUUUGGUUUGCCUUUGAAUGGAGGGGAGAGGGAAAUGGCAUGCACACGAUAGAUGACUUGAAUUGUGUCAUUCAAGCAGUGUGUUCGUGUUACUGUCAGUGAAAGGACACAAGCCUAACUCAUCAAAUUCCUUCUUUUCCCCCAUAUCUCAUCUGACCCAAACCCUUCUCAAUUUUCAUCACCCAAAUUUGUUUACAUCAGUUGAGAAAAACAACUGAUCAAGUCAGUAAACUUUUUACAGCCUACGAGAAGCAUUUACUACUUAGAAACAUUUCUAUCUAUUUUCUAUAUCUGUGAAUACUGCGUAUCUAAUCUAACCUAAGAAUUGUGUUUUAAGAAAAGCGCAAUGAUGCUACCUUAUGAUGCUCAAUGUUUAAAAUCUUGGGAUUUCAUUUUCAAGCUGAAAUAGGUAACAGAAAAACUUAACCUUAAAUGUUUACAUUGAAUUUCUAAAUUAAUACCAAUUCCAAAUUAAGUGAUCUAUGCUCAAUUAAAGGCCAUGGGGAAUUUGAAACUUAUUGGCAUUCUAUGAGAUACUAUUUCUGUGGCAUAGUGAAUAAUACACAGACUAUUCUGCCAUGUAGUAAGCCUUCAGUGUAGUCUUUCUCUGCAUUGCCUUUUGGAAUAAAACUAUGUAUCCUAACCAUGUAUCCUACUGAAAUGUUAAUUCACAGAUGACCUAUAAUUUGCCAAGUACUGAGCUUAAGGUAGUGCGUUUAUACUUUAUUGAAGGCUCGCCUUCCUUUUUCACAUUAUUAACCUGUAUUUACAUUUGUGUAGUUUUAAACUAUGUUUCCAAAUAAACUUUGUCUGUGGCUUCAUGGUCUUUUCAGAACUCUCUCAAGAAGGGAUUUGGGGUCAGACCACUUAAAGUCAAACAGAAACCAAUUACUACUGCUUUAAGAAGCCUUUCUGUCGAAUAUCACAACAUAUAAUUUUGCAUGAAUUAUCUGGAAAGCAGGAAUGCAUUUGUAGACAAAGAAAACACCUUGAAAACCAUUUUCCUUUGUUAAUUUUUUAAGACUAAAAUAUUAACCUGAAAUCGAAAUUUGUGAUCUUUUUAGAAUAAAAGCAUUAAAAUAUGUGUCACUU
This 1405-nucleotide long non-coding RNA is filed under the name Rattus norvegicus (Norway rat). RNAcentral's name for it is "long non-coding RNA NONRATT016317". The record is from RNAcentral. Lineage: Eukaryota; Metazoa; Chordata; Mammalia; Rodentia; Muridae.